GCAACACUUCUUUUGCCAGUUUCAUUUUCAGUGAAACCAUAACUUAGAAGUAGUGCAUGCUCUCACACAAACGCAGAUCACAAACCUAACAGCAGCAGACUCAGGGAAACGGUAACCUAAACGGAGUUCCACCUACUCUCACACAAACACAGAGAUCAGAUACUUGACGGCAGCAGACGAACGCAGGAUGAUGAAGAUGUCAGGAAGUGCCACGAUUUGUUGCGUAGCUCUGUUCUUCACCAUGACUUCUGUGUCGGCUGUACAAAGGCUCAAUUCAAUCAAUGAUUUAAAGAAAAUCGACUAUGGCCAAUCUGUGCCCAAACACAGCCUCGUGCUGCUCUACUGGUUUGCCAACACAGUGGAUAUCGACAACAACAAUAUAUCCCUGACCUUUGACCCUAACAGUGGAGAUUAUGGCUCACAUUAUUAUAGCAAUUUUGAAGGGCUGUUGGACCCACUGCCUUGGGGAAAUAGAUACCGAUACUACACUAUUGGCAAUCUCCAUCAAGAAACAUCCAUGCCACUCCCACAUUAUGUUGUCCAUCACCCAACACAAGGAAACAGGGACAGGAUCAUAAUUCGUGUCAGGGACCAGAACAUAGCAGGGCAAGCUAGGAUAGACCAAGUGUAUAUCACACAGCAUAUUCAACAUGAGGGUACAUAUGAUCCAGAUCAUACCUAUCAGAUCACUACUAACCUCCUGA
This is a long non-coding RNA of Perca flavescens (yellow perch), 704 nucleotides long. RefSeq lists it as uncharacterized. The record is from RefSeq and is a predicted model, not a curated record. Lineage: Eukaryota; Metazoa; Chordata; Actinopteri; Perciformes; Percidae. The transcript is spliced from 3 exons.